RNAcentral lists this ribosomal RNA (399 nucleotides) under Triticum aestivum (bread wheat). Its description in RNAcentral is "partial small subunit ribosomal RNA". Lineage: Eukaryota; Viridiplantae; Streptophyta; Magnoliopsida; Poales; Poaceae. The record is from RNAcentral.
AUGGAGAUUAGUCCUAUAUGCAAAAGGAAAACGGAGAACGCCUCCAACACGAUAGCCAUGGGUGCCCGACCCGGAUUUCACAUAUUCUUCGGUGUCAUAAAAAGGAAGCCUCGACCGGAUCACAUCGCAAGUUCUAAAGACAAACGGUCCAAUGUCGCCUCCUCCAACUUCGCGGGAAGACCAUCCACCGUUGUCUCUGUGGACUUCGCUGCAAGACCAUCCGCCGUUGCCUCCGCCGACUUUGCCGGAAGACCAUCAGUUGUCAUCUCCGCCUACUUCGCCGCAGGUAUCUUUUUUUUUUUUGCAAAUUAUGAUGCAACUAUUUUUGAUUUACAACCAGAGCUUACUGAUGGUUAUAGGAUGAAAAAACGCGCAUAUAAGUUGCAAGAUUUUGAAUAG